Molecule: long non-coding RNA, 771 nt
Organism: Equus quagga
Lineage: Eukaryota; Metazoa; Chordata; Mammalia; Perissodactyla; Equidae
Exons: 3
Source: RefSeq, a predicted model, not a curated record
ACUUUUAGGUAGGAGAUACAGCUUUUUUGUGGUCUGAGCAUCAAACUUGAGAGGAGGACAUUGCUGAGACUUAACAUUAAUUAAUAAUGUUUAUUCAUGUAAACCUGCAUCAAAUGGUAUUCUACAUGGAGGAAAAGCUGUGGAUGCUAAAAAAAGAGAACUGAAAACUAGUCUUUCAUGAACUCAGUUAUUGGAAGACCGUGAACUGGGCUGAAUACAAUAUCUUUGCAUAUUUCCCUUCACCCUUCCCACAUGCUUCACAUCUCCCAGACUCCUCGGGUUAAUCCCCAGGACAACCUUGCUUUGAAAGAAAAAAUGUGGUGAGCCUACUUGAAGAUUUGGAUCCCAGAGGCCUCUGUCUGUCCUGCCUCAGCCAGACCCCAGACAGCCGGCUCAAGGAGAUGGACAUUUACAGAGAAAGAAGCAGUAAGUUUUUGUUGUUGUUUGUUUUCAAGGCUUGGUUGUUCUCCAGAAUUAAGGUCUCUGAAAGCACGGGGUUUUCUUAUUUUUUCCCCCUUUCAUUUUUUUACUUUUUUCUCAGCAAAAAUAAAUAAUAUCCCCUUCCCAUCUUGGGGAUGAUUCAUAAAAGCAAUUGAAUUAGAAAGUGCUUCUUCAUUGCUGCUCAUAGCCUGGGUUAAAGAUAUCUGAAGUUGAUCUAUGUGUGCUUAUUCUCAACAUUGUAAAAUUUUAAAAUGUAUCUGCCUUUGUUAAAAUAAUUUGUACUGAUUGUUCUUCUCCAGAACAAAUACUAUGUAACUGGAUGAUUGAUUG